Molecule: long non-coding RNA, 3387 nt
Filed under: Ovis aries (sheep)
Lineage: Eukaryota; Metazoa; Chordata; Mammalia; Artiodactyla; Bovidae
Description: lncRNA (ENSOARG00000026931.1)
Source: RNAcentral
GCGGGGGCGGGGGGGGAAAGAGGGGGGGGGGGCCGUUUGUCCCGCCCUUCCCUGCAAUGCGUCAAACUGGGGCGAGCCACUGCCUGGUGGUGGUGGGUAGCCUGAAAUGUGUGACUGUGUGGGGCCGUGAGGCGUAACGAGGCGAAGGGGGAAAUUGUGUGACUGUUAGAGAAGCAAAUACAUCGUCUUCGUGGUCAGGGAGUGGUAAAAAUGGUGGCGGAAGGUGCAGAAGUACUUUCUUAGUUCUCCCUUCUGACAGAUGGAAGAUGGUGCAACCCAAAAUGCUGGUCUGGAAGCCCCGCCCCCAAUUGGGCCCUCGGGGUGGCGGGGUCUUCAAGGUUCAGCUUUUAGCCUGAAAGUUCCGCUCAUCGCCCGUCGGGGCAGGUGUCUGCACCAUGAGACACACUCCACAGGUGUGCGAAGCCCCUGUCCUCGCUUCACUUCACUUAUAAUCGGUUCAGGGUCUGUUAAACGGGCUGUUCCAAGACAGCCCUGGGAACAAGGGUUCCAACCACGGAAGAAGAGUGGGAAAGUUAGCUGAGACUAUUUACUGGCGCUCAGAAACGGCAACAUCCCCCCCCCGCCCCCCAACUUUUCUUGUUUUGAAUUAGGGCUAUAUUUGCGUCUGUGCCCUGCCCCCUCUCGGUGAUUGGCUGACAAGUGUCAAAUGAGUCAAGCUGGACCAAUCUUUAUGUUACACCUGGAACAGGAUGUAGGCUGAGCCAAUGAGAGGCCUUCCAUGGGUUUUUGGAUCUAGACUUUUGGGGGCAGGAAGUCUUUUCCUUUUGUGUGGUGAGGGAGUGAAGAAAUAGAUCUGGACCUAUCUAUGACCUUUUGGAAGGAAAGUUAUGACCAACCAAGAUAGCAUAUUGAAAAGCAGAGACAUUACUUUGCCAACAAAGGUCCAUCUAGUCAAGGCUAUGGUUUUUCCAGUGGUCAUGUAUGGAUGUGAGAGUUGGACUGUGAAGAGAGCUGAGCACUGAAGAAUUGAUGCUUUGGAACUGUGGUGUUGCAGAAGACUCUUGAGAGUCCCUUGGACUGCAAGGAGAUCCAACCAGUCCAUCCUAAAAGAGAUCAGUCCUGGGUGUUCAUUGGAAGGACUGAUGCUAAAGCUGAAACUCCAAUCCUUUGGCCACCUCAUGCGAAGAGUUGGCUCAUUGGAAAAGACUCUGAUGCUGGGAGGGAUUGGGGGCAGGAGGAGAAGGGGACAACAGAGGAUGAGAUGGCUGGAUGGCAUCAGGGACUCAAUAGACAUGAGUUUGAGUGAACUCCGGGAGUUGGUGAUGGACAGGGAGGCCUGAUGUGCUGUGAUUCAUGGGGUCUCAAAGAGUGGGACACAACUGAGUGACUGAACUGAGCUGAACUGAUGACCUUUUUCACACCCCAGAGGAGAGAAUAAAACUGAUUCCAGAGAAAAGCAAUGAAGAGGUGGAGUGAGAGAGUCCUGUUGCCAUUCCCUUCCCUGAUUCCAGCUUGAGGCCAGCUGCACACUAUCGUGCCAGGCUUUUGAUUAUAUGAGCUAUUAAAAUGUCCCAUUUAUCCCAAGCUGGUUUGAGUUGAGUUUCUGUUACUUAUGACAAAAGAAUUUGUGAUGGAUGUGACCCAGGCUAAAGUCUGUCUUGAUCAUCAGCAUUGGCCCUGAAACAGAGAGGGCCAAGGACCCAGUCAUCAUUUGCUGAACAACUAAGCAAAGGAAGUCACACAUAUGCUCUCUCUCCCUGUUUCUCCUUUCCAUGUCUUUGAGUCUCAGUUUCUACCAGGAAGACCUUAAUUUCUGAAUUACUUAGGCCUAUGAAAUGAUAGAUAUACUACUAUCAGCACAUAUGAAGACAUACUGUGUUCCAGGCACCAUUUCACCUGCUUUGACUGCGUUAGUUCAUUUAAUUCUUACAACCUCCCUAUGAGUUUGUUACUUUCACUUUCCACCUUUUGAAACUGUUUUAUUGCCACUGGAAUUAGAUGAGAUCAGAGAGGUAUAAAGCCUUGACCAAGAACAGAGAAGUAAAGUAGCUUGCCUAGGGUCACACAGUAGGAGGCAGAGUCAGGAUUUUAACCCCAGCAGUUUGACUGAAAACCCCACACUCUUAACCACAUUAUACCACAGGUGGGAGAGAUCCUACUUUUUUUCCAGAAUCCACUUUCUCUGUUUUCCAGACUAAUAGAAUUUUAGCUGGGCACAUUGCCAUCCUAAGUAAAAAUGACAUUUCCUAACCAUCCUUGCAGUUAUGAGUCCUCAUUUGACGGAAUUCUGGCCCAAAAGGAUGUGAACAGAAGUGAUACAUGAAACUUCUGGGCAUACCCUUAAAGGGGGAGGACAUACCUUCCCUCUUCUUGCCUGCUGGUAGGGCAGCCAUCAGACCAAUGGUGACCACACUCACCUGGGACUUUGAUGAUUUUCCUGAGGAGAGCCCACUUUUCCUUCCCCAGGGCCAAACUUGUAUUUGAGAGGGAAAUAAACUUUUAUAUUGCUUACGCCACUGGUAUUUUGGAUCACUUGGUUAUAACAUAUACAUGUCCUCUCUUUGGUUACUGCCCUUGUUUUGGUGAAAGCCGACUCUUGUGCCUAAUUUAGUGAGAGGUCAUGGGGUUCGGGUGUUAACCAGUCAGCAUGUCCUACUUUCAUAACUGACUGCUUCAGAGCCAAUUGUAUGACUUUCUCUCUCUCUUUUUUUGUAUUUUUUGCAUGUGUGACAUAAUUACACUCAAUAAAAUGCCGCAGAUCUCAAGUAUUCCGUUGAAUUGUGUACACCCAUGUAACCACCACCCAAGACAAGUUAUAGAACACUUCCAUCACCCCAGAAGAUAGAUCCCUGUGGCUCUUUCCAGUCAAUUCCUGUUCCCCUCAAGCAACUAUUGUUCUGGCUUCUGUCAUUGGAGAUUAGUUCUGCCUGUUCUGGAAUUUUGUAGAAAUGGAAUCCAUGUAGCAUACAUUUUUCUGGUCUUGGCUUCUGUCACUCAAUGUAAUAUUUUUAAGCAAAAGUUGCAUGGAACAUCAGUUCAGUCAGUUCAGUCACUCAGUCGUGUCCAACUCUUUGAGACCCCAUGAACUGCAGCACGCCAGGCCUCCCUGUCCAUCACCAACUCCCGGAGUUCACUCAAACUCACAUCCAUCGAGUUGGUGAUACCAUCCAGCCAUUUCAUCCUCUGUUGUCCCCUUCUCCUCCUGCCCCCAAUCCCUCCCAGCAUCAGAGUCUUUUCCAAUGAGUCAACUCUUCGCAUGAGGUGGCCAAAGUACUGGAGUUUCAGCUUUAGCAUCAUCAUUCCAAAGAAAUCCCAGGGCUGAUCUCCUAGGCACCUUUAAAUUUUUCUUAGUACUAGCUCAACAGGUUGUUACCCCCCUUUUCUUAUUACCCUUUUAACCCUUUUUUUUGAUACCUAAUGCAUAUC